RNAcentral lists this ribosomal RNA (433 nucleotides) under uncultured bacterium. RNAcentral describes it as "partial 16S ribosomal RNA". It matches the Rfam family "Bacterial small subunit ribosomal RNA", at positions 29 to 507 of the family's 1533-position model. The record is from RNAcentral.
AACGAACGCUGGCGGCAUGCCUAACACAUGCAAGUCGAACGAGACCUUCGGGUCUAGUGGCGCACGGGUGCGUAACGCGUGGGAACCUGCCCUUAGGUUCGGAAUAACUCCCCGAAAGGGGUGCUAAUACCGGAUAAUGUCUUCGGACCAAAGAUUUAUCGCCUUUGGAUGGGCCCGCGUUGGAUUAGCUAGUUGGUAGGGUAAAAGCCUACCAAGGCGACGAUCCAUAGCUGGUCUGAGAGGAUGAUCAGCCACACUGGGACUGAGACACGGCCCAGACUCCUACGGGAGGCAGCAGUGGGGAAUAUUGGACAAGGGGCGAAAGCCUGAACCAGCAAUGCCGCGUGAGUGAUGAAGGACUUAGGGUUGUAAAGCUAUUUUACCCGGGAUGAUAAUGACAGUACCGGGAGAAUAAGCUCCGGCUAACUCCGUG